ACGCUCGACACCUACGGGAGGCAGCAGUCGGGAAUAUUGCGCAAUGGAGGAAACUCUGACGCAGUGACGCCGCGUAUAGGAAGAAGGUUUUCGGAUUGUAAACUAUUGUCGUUAGGGAAGAAAAAGGACAGUACCUAAGGAGGAAGCUCCGGCUAACUACGUGCUAGCAGCCGCGGUAAUCUGAGCGGGCUGGCAAGGC
This 199-nucleotide ribosomal RNA is filed under the name uncultured bacterium. RNAcentral describes it as "partial 16S ribosomal RNA". It matches the Rfam family "Bacterial small subunit ribosomal RNA", at positions 328 to 539 of the family's 1533-position model. The record is from RNAcentral.